AUUUAAAUAGAUUAUUAAUUAGAUAUUAAUUAAAAAAAAUGCUGCAUAUAGAUAAUACCGACAGAAAUUUUGCAUUCGCUUAUUUUGAAUGCGAGUGAAAAUUAAUCGUGAGAGUUAAAAAAAAAAAAAAAAAAGAAAGAGAGUUAGAGCGAAAAUUUGGCGAGAAGCGGGAAAGGGUAAUUACUAAUGAUCGCGGAGGAUCGUUAUUAACCUUUCUGGUGGCGAGAGGCAUCAGGACGUAGCAGGACCAUUGUCCAUUCCGCUAGGUUCAUUACGGUGUUCCAGUAGGGAAUGAGGCGAUGGUCGGCUGGAUGAUGUAAAAAAGGGUAAAAGAGAAAUAAGAAAAGUGUCGGGGGUCAGAGGAGACCGAACGGCUACCGUGAAUGGCGCAGCCUGACCCAAGAGCUGCCGGGCAUCAAAAGGGCCUCAAAAGGACCGCUUCGAACCUCGGCCUGUCCGAAGCUCAUUUGUUUUCACCGGCGCAUGGAAAGAUCGAUCGACCGAUGUCUUAACCCUACACUCUCCACGGAAUCAUCCGCUUUCGAUAAGAAAAAUUCUGAGGCAUUAAUUAGAUCGGCCGGUAAUAGAGUCAUGAUGGAAAACUGAUUGCCUGCGUCGAAGUUACAGCAAUUUACUUACCUAUCAACUAUCUUCUCCGAGUUUCCUUCCAUUUUCUUCUUGGUAGUAUUUAACGUAGUUUUAUACAAUUCAUUUUUCUCAAAAGUUCAUUGUUUUUUUGUUUGUAAGUUUAUAUCUAAUAUUUAUUUUUAUAAAGUUUAUUUUAUUAUGAAAUUAUCUAAUAUUACUCUUUUGAUUUUUUUUUCCUUAUGAUUCUUUUUAGGUCACGUUAAACUAGAUUAAAUUAUUUCUUAAAUAACAUUUUCAAUAUAAUAUCCAUAAUCGUGUAAGUCUCUGAUAUUUAUUAUUAUAAAAUGGUGAAAAACACGAUGAAAUCCAGAAUUGUUAUGCAUACUGGUGACAGGAAAUUGAUGACCACUAUAUAUAGAGUAGAAAAUUCCCAUGAGGUUUUUUGUAAUCGUCUUUCUUCUUCUUGAUAUCGAUUCGAUGGAUGAUCGUUAAUUUGAAUGGACGAAAUGAUCGGUAACAUUAGACUGGAUAAUUCGAUGAGCAAAACAAAAAGAUAUAAAUUUAUAUUCUCCAUCGAA
This is a long non-coding RNA of Apis florea (little honeybee), 1166 nucleotides long. Lineage: Eukaryota; Metazoa; Arthropoda; Insecta; Hymenoptera; Apidae. The record is from RefSeq and is a predicted model, not a curated record.